UCCCUUGUUGCGCAUUCACUUGUCUCCAUAGCUAAGUGGCUUAACCCCAACGAUGCCGUGGACACCCUGAGGGGGUGACUUUGACAUAAUCAAAGAUCAAGGACUUAACCACAAGACAACUGUGAUGCCUCAGGUCAAAGGACUAUUUUGCAUUAUCCCAACCAUGAGUUCUCAUGUGACAUGGAAUAUAAGAACUCUUCGUUGA
This 205-nucleotide long non-coding RNA is filed under the name Malus domestica (apple). Its description in RNAcentral is "long non-coding RNA (MDOM_LNC020501)". The record is from RNAcentral. Lineage: Eukaryota; Viridiplantae; Streptophyta; Magnoliopsida; Rosales; Rosaceae.